AGGUAUUGCGCCAGACGAAUGGGUAACAUUGAUGAUGUUAAUUAUGAGAUUUUUCUCCAAUACCUU
RNAcentral lists this transfer RNA (66 nucleotides) under Notomastus sp. GK-2021. RNAcentral's name for it is "tRNA-Ile". Lineage: Eukaryota; Metazoa; Annelida; Polychaeta; Capitellidae. The record is from RNAcentral.